Molecule: non-coding RNA, 255 nt
Organism: Cinara cedri
Lineage: Eukaryota; Metazoa; Arthropoda; Insecta; Hemiptera; Aphididae
Source: the annotation of a GenBank genome assembly
CGGCAAUUAAAAAUGUCAACACCGGACUUUGAUUAAACGGAAACGUCAUCUGUUCGUUGACAAUUGUUCGAAAGUCGUUUUGUCCCCGAACGCAACGGCCAAUAAAGAAUCGCGACGUUAUAGAUGAAUUUUUUUUUCCGCGUCAGCUCUUACGGUCCGCGUUACCUCCGCUGUCUUGUUGCCUUUUCUUUUCUCGGGCGACUUUCACGCCGUCUAUCCAUCUCGGCGGUGUAUGGCGGCUCCCGGCUUUUUUCC